GCAUAUCAAUAAGCGGAGGAAAAGAAAAUAACAAUGAUUCCCCUAGUAACGGCGAGUGAAGAGGGAUGAGCUCAAAUUUUAAAUCUGUAUAGGUUCUACCUGUCAGAGUUGUAGUUUGAAGAAACGUUUUCGGUGUCUUUGAUUAGCCUAAGUCCUUUGGGAUAAGGUAUCAUGGAGGGUGACAAUCCCGUUCAUGGUUAAUUUUAAAGAUGCUUUAUGAUACGUUUUCCAAGAGUCGAGUUGUUUGGGAAUGCAGCUCAAAAUGGGAGGUAAAUUUCUCCUAAGGCUAAAUAUUGGCGAGAGACCGAUAGCGAACAAGUACCGUGAGGGAAAGAUGAAAAGAACUUUGAAAAGAGAGUUAAAUAGUACGUGAAAUUGUUGAAAGAGAAACGAUUAAAGUCAGUCAUACCGGCGAGAAAUCAACCCUCCUAGUGCGAAUUUGUUGAAUGUGAAGAGUUUCAAAUGAGGCCUUCAUGCUUUGCAAACUUGUGCCUUCUGGGCGUACUUUCUCGAAUGGUAGGUUAACAUCGAUUUUGAACAUCACAAAAUGAUUGGAGGAAUGUAGCCUCGGACUCGUUUCGAAGUGUUAUAGCCUUUGAUAAAUGUAAUGAUCAGGAUCGAGGAUUGCAACGAAUACCCAAUGGGCUAUCCGUCUGAUCUCUGAUACGUUGUCUCGAUGUCGAAAGCUUGCUUAUGAUAUUGAGAUAUUACGGUCAAAAGGUUAGAACGGAAUACAUUCGUUAAGGAUGUUGACGUAAUGGCUUUAAACGAC
This 772-nucleotide ribosomal RNA is filed under the name uncultured Glomus. Its description in RNAcentral is "eukaryotic LSU rRNA". It matches the Rfam family "Eukaryotic large subunit ribosomal RNA", at positions 38 to 648 of the family's 3401-position model. Lineage: Eukaryota; Fungi; Glomeromycota; Glomeromycetes; Glomerales; Glomeraceae. The record is from RNAcentral.